GUGCGAAGACUCACCCCGGCCAGCUGCGCCGCGCCAGCUUGCUCGUGAAGAAACACGUGCGACUCUUCUCCACAGUAGGCCUCGCUACCGCGUACAUCACAAUGAUUCAUGACUGAAAAGGGUGAGAGAGAUCUUCCUCGUAGAUGUCAUCUCCCACUUCUGCUUCAUACAUGGCCUUCCUCAUCGCCAUAGUUGGCUUUAUAUCCUUAUUCACUCCGCCGUAAGACAUGGUGCUAGCACGUAAGUGACCGCGUACGUCGAAUCUGCUUUAACGACUGAUACUAUAGUAAGCACACGAUGUACUUUAAAAAAAAUGUACAGAUAAGAUACUCAAAGAUAGUACCUCAAUAUCAACGUUAAGCAAUCGUUAAGCAAACGUUAACGAAUGCUGAAAAAUUUAUAAUUU
Ooceraea biroi (clonal raider ant) is the source of this 406-nucleotide long non-coding RNA. RefSeq lists it as uncharacterized. Lineage: Eukaryota; Metazoa; Arthropoda; Insecta; Hymenoptera; Formicidae. The record is from RefSeq and is a predicted model, not a curated record.